AUGCAAGGGAACUAGGUUGCAUGCUCCUUAUAAGAAUCUAAUGCCUGAUGUCAUCUGUCACUGUCUCCCAUCACCCCCAGACAGGACCAUCUAGUUUUAGGGAAACAAGCUCAGGGGUCCCACUGAUUCUACAUUUUGGUGAGUUUUAUAAUUAUUUCAUUAAAUAUUACAACGUAAUAAUAGAAAUAAAGUGCACAAUAAAUGUAAUGCACUUGAAUCAUCCCAAAACCAACCCCCGACCUCCAGUCCGUGGAAAAAAUUGUCUUCCACAAAAACCAGUCUUUGGUGCCAAAAAGAUUGGGGACUGCUGCUCUAGGACAUAUUUUUAGUUGACAAACAGGCUUAUAAAGCAAUCAGACCAAGGAGGAAGGGCUCCUUUCUGUUGGAAUGAAACAGGAUGGGAUGUAGGCCUGGAGGGGCUGACAGCCAUGCUGAUAUCAUAUGAACCUGGGAGGGGAGCCAACUUGGAGAGGAGCUGUAAGGGUCUAGCUCUGAUGAACUCUGAAGGUCAUUUCCAAGAGAGCAGUAUUAGUUAGGAUGCAGAAAAGGCUGCUGCUAUAUGAAAAUACAAUGGUUUAAAUGAGCAGUAAAUGGCGUUUCUCUGAUGGAACAGUGCAGAACAUCAUCCAAGGUCGGUAAGGUGACUUAAAGCUACCAGGGACAUUGAGCUUUCUGUCUUACUACUUUGCUGCCUCUAGGGUGCAGCUCUUGUCCACAUGGUAUAGAUCUCAUCCUCCUGGACAAAGAUGCCUGCGCUCCCACCCUCAGGAAGACGGGAGGGGAGAAAGCGGAGGGAACCCCUCCUUUCCUGUUAAGGACAUGACAUGGAAUCUGGAAACUUCCACUUCCUCUCACACCUCAUUCGCCAGAACUUAGUUAUACGGUUAUACCGAGGUGCAGGGGAGCCUGGGGAAUAUAGCCUUUAGCUGGGCGCCUUUGUGCCAAACAAAAACUACUGUUACUGUUGGACAAGGGGAGAAUAAGUAUUGGGGGCACCUGGCAUACUCUGCCACAUCUAUUAUUCCAUAUCAGAAGGAAGGAACCGCACAUUCAUUAGCUCCAAAUCUGUUCUUGGUUCUGGGUUUCAGCCAUUCCUUGGGCAGCCAAGUGGGCCUGCUUCCAUCUGGCCUGUGCCGUAAAUCCUCUUCCCUUUGCAAAGAGCA
RNAcentral lists this long non-coding RNA (1163 nucleotides) under Pan troglodytes (chimpanzee). Its description in RNAcentral is "long non-coding RNA NONPTRT008994". Lineage: Eukaryota; Metazoa; Chordata; Mammalia; Primates; Hominidae. The record is from RNAcentral.